Molecule: ribosomal RNA, 497 nt
Filed under: uncultured bacterium
Lineage: Bacteria
Description: partial 16S ribosomal RNA
Rfam family: Bacterial small subunit ribosomal RNA
Source: RNAcentral
GAUGAACGCUGGCGGCGUGCCUAAUACAUGCAAGUCGAGCGAACGGACGAGAAGCUUGCUUCUCUGAUGUUAGCGGCGGACGGGUGAGUAACACGUGGAUAACCUACCUAUAAGACUGGGAUAACUUCGGGAAACCGUAGCUAAUACCGGAUAAUAUUUUGAACCGCAUGGUUCAAAAGUGAAAGCCGGUCUUGCUGUCACUUAUAGAUGGAUCCGCGCUGCAUUAGCUAGUUGGUAAGGUAACGGCUUACCAAGGCAACGAUGCAUAGCCGACCUGAGAGGGUGAUCGGCCACACUGGAACUGAGACACGGUCCAGACUCCUACGGGAGGCAGCAGUAGGGAAUCUUCCGCAAUGGGCGAAAGCCUGACGGAGCAACGCCGCGUGAGUGAUGAAGGUCUUCGGAUCGUAAAACUCUGUUAUUAGGGAAGAACAUAUGUGUAAGUAACUGUGCACAUCUUGACGGUACCUAAUCAGAAAGCCACGGCUAACUACGUG